AAUAUGAUUAUUUCAUUCCUCUUAGACUAGAUUUAUAGCUUGCAUAGGGUGCUCAAAUAUUUGAUUGUGGUAAAAUAUGUAUAGGCCAUUUUUGGUAAGAAAUGAAACCCAUUGAAACUAAAUUGCAUUUGAGCUCUUCAAACCAUCAACAAAAAAAUAGCCAAAUAGUAAGGCUCAAUCAAUAUAUUGAAGCUUACUUAUGAUGCAUAACAUUUGAAAAACCACACCUUUUGACAAAAUGGU
This 243-nucleotide long non-coding RNA is filed under the name Carica papaya (papaya). RNAcentral's name for it is "long non-coding RNA (CPAP_LNC008285)". The record is from RNAcentral. Lineage: Eukaryota; Viridiplantae; Streptophyta; Magnoliopsida; Brassicales; Caricaceae.